UCAGUGGGCCUCUGAACAAGAGGGGCGUGCAGAGCGGCUUUUUGGCCUCAGUUAACUCUUAAAUGGGUGUCAGAGGCACUGUCUUCCCCUAGCUAUGCGCCUCGUGCCUGGGAGCCUUAGGGCCACACGGAAGGGUAGAAAUCAGUUUCAGGUCAGGAGAGAUUCCUGCUCCCAGCCCAGGCCCAGACGGCAACAGAAGCUCAUGGUGAGUUCACCCCGGUCCUGGUCUGGCACCUCAUUGCUGGGGAGGUCUCGGCAGUCCAGAGGAGGUAGCCCCCACCCUGGGCAUCCAUCCGCCCAGGCCCCAGCCUCCGCGGGAAGACCCAAUUACAGAAGAGAGAAGUAUGUGGAGACCCUUGGCUGAGGUUGGGGGUCCUGGAAGCUGGAGGUAGUGUUCCUGGGUAUAGCAUGAUGGGUUGAUGGGUGGGUUUUAUUCUCUUUUUAAGGAUUUUUUAUAUUUUUCAAAUUUCCCUUUUGAAAUGUAUUCAUUUUGCAAUCAGAAAACAAAACAGGCCAGGCGUGGUGGUUCACACCUGUAAUCCCAGCACUUUGGGAGGCUGAGGCGGGUGGAUCACCUGAGGCCAGGAGUCCAAGACCAGCCUGGCCAACUUGGUGAAACCCCGUCUCUACUAAGAAUACAAAAAUUAGCCAGGCGUGGUGGUGGGCACCUGUAGCCCCAGCUACUUGGGAGGCUGAGGCACGAGAAUCGCUCGAACCCAGGAGGCGGAGCUUGCAGUGAGCUGAGAUCGCGCCACUGCACUCCAGCCUGGGCAACAGAGAGAGACUCUGUCUCAAAAAAAAGAAAACAAAACAAACCAGUGAACACUACUCCAAACAAAUGUCCAGGCCCAGAGAUCAGAGGCUGCAAGGUGGGCUCUGUCCCCAUGUCCCCAGCCACACUGCUGGGGAACCCACAGGGUGCCAGGUCCCCUCAGCCCUGUCCCUGCCCCACAGGCCCCUGGAGUGAUUGUAGGCUCUAGACUGCCUCAGUUUGCCCCCAGCCUCCCCUAGGUGCCCGGGGAGCCACUGGCCAGCCUCCGGUCGCACUCCACUCAGGGCUUGACGGGGAAACAGAAACCAGCCUUGAACGCCUUCCCACGCCCCAAAACGCCAGGGUGCACAGUGAGGGGAGCCCUGGUCAGAUGGCACAGAUGGCAUUCCUGCCCGCGAGAGGCCCAGGACCCCGGGGAGCCAGAGGGGCAGGGUGCCCGCAGCGUCCAGGCAAAUGGGCCCA
RNAcentral lists this long non-coding RNA (1234 nucleotides) under Homo sapiens (human). Its description in RNAcentral is "non-protein coding lnc-TMEM105-2:2". The record is from RNAcentral. Lineage: Eukaryota; Metazoa; Chordata; Mammalia; Primates; Hominidae.